This is a long non-coding RNA of Mercenaria mercenaria, 2081 nucleotides long. RefSeq lists it as uncharacterized. Lineage: Eukaryota; Metazoa; Mollusca; Bivalvia; Venerida; Veneridae. The transcript is spliced from 6 exons. The record is from RefSeq and is a predicted model, not a curated record.
CAGCAUUGGUCGACAAAGGCACGUCAGCGGAGCACAUGAAUAUCAGAAAAUUAUACAAACAAACAGUUAUUAUUAUUACCCUUUUAAAUGAUUUUGAAUUCUGAAAAAACAUUUAGAAUUCUAAAAUACCCUUUUGAAAAAAUAUCUAGGAGUAAAAUACCCUUUAACCUAAAAUCUUAUCUGGAGCUCUGGUCAUGUAGGAGUUAUGGCUCCUGACUUUGUAAAAAUUGGUCAUUUUAGUGUUGUGUCGCGCGUAGCUCCAAAAGUAUUUGACCUAGAGUCACCAAAGUUUACAGGAAUGUUGGUCAGCAUGUGCAGUUGUGCACCUGGGGUUUCGCGUCCAGAUUCAUUCAGUCAUGUAGGAGUUAUGGCCCCUGACUUAGUUAAAAAUUUAUUUGGUACAGUUUGUACCAUUUUCUGAAGAUUUAAAUCUUUUGCAUGAUCUAAGUUAUCCUUUUAAAAGUAAAAUUUUUGUGUCCUUCUUACAGACUGCAUAAUUUUGUCCGCUGAUUGUUGGAAAAAAAUAUUUUUUUAUUGUAUGCUAAAAUUUUUUCUUUAAUCAAACAGUUAUAGUAAAUGAUCCAGCAUGUAGGAAAAGGAUAUGUACAGGUUCUCCAUUAUUAUUUUUGUUUCACCUGUACCGAAAAAGAACAUUCAUGACCAUGAAGAUGUUAUACAAUUAUCUGAGAAGGGGACACAAACUGAUGGCAUUUUCCCAAUGUGUGUAUGUCAGGGAAUUCAACUUCAAAGAUCACUUGCAAAGACAUACAGACGGAUAGAUACUGAGGAUGAUGCUGAUAUAAAUUGUGUGUUACAAAGUCUCCUGAUGAUUCCUGUCAGAGGAGCUUGAAGCACAUGAAAGGGAAGAGCUGGAUUUAAUUGUCAAAAAGAAUGGUCAGACACAGGAACAAACUGUACAUGGAAACAGUGUUGUUAGUGGAGACUUUAUAACAGACAACAGUCGCCAGAUUUCUAGUGUAAUUGAAGGAGAUACUGAUCUAUGUGAUCAAGUUGAUAACCAACAGUAACCACACUUACUACAUAAAAAAAAAGGCUCUGUAAAAAAACAACAUCAGAAGAUUUAAGAAAGACGACUUUCAGGAAACGAGAAAGCCGUGAGGGUUCUACAAUCUGUCUACGAACAGAAAGAUGAUGACAGUGAAUCCCCCAACCAUGAUGAGCAUUCAAGAGUUUUCAAGUUAUUGUCUCAACAACAGUGAAAUAAGAUCAGCUUUGAUAUACAAAUUGAGUGAUGAAAUGAGGAAGAUACCAGCAUCUAUGACAAACAGGGAAAAUGGUUUUGUGUCUGUCCUAAUGAAAAAAAGUCCUGAGGACAUUGAAAAUCUACAUCUUCUUGUAGAUGUCAUCCAAGAGUUUGUAAAUUUAUUUCCUGAACUGUUACAAAUUCUUUUAUUGCUUCCACCAAAGAAGACACUGGAAUGUUUUGCAGACAUCAUACCAAGGCUGUCUCUCAUUUAUUCAGUGAUAAUGCAGAACAGAGUGAGAGAGCUCCGCCAAUUACAAAGGAGUGUAGCAGUGAUGCAGACAAUAUUUGUGAUCAAGCGGUAAGGAAAACAUAUGUUAAAAAUUCAUGUUACAUUGUUUGAUUUAGGAAAAAUGAAACUGACACUUGCAUAAAAAUUAAUAAUCAAUAAUAAAGGGAAGCAAUUUCCAAAUUUUUAUUUAAAUCAAUAAAAUAUACAUUUCUAAUACGGAUCUAACUCUAUGUAGUGCAUCUUUUUAUACGCCCGUUUGAAAAACGGGACGUAUUAUGGGAACGCCCCUGGCGGGCGGGCAGCGUCCACAGACUUUGUCCGGAGCAUAUCUUCUACAUGCAUGGAGGGAUUUUGAUGAAACUUGGCACAGUUGUUCACCAUCAUGAGACGGAGUGUCAUGCGCAAGAACCAGAUCCCUAGGUCUAAGGUCAAGGUCACAGAGGUCAAAGGUCAAAUUCAAGAAUGACUGUCCGGAGCAUAUCUUCUUCAUGCAUGGAGGGAUUUUAAUGAAAGUUGGCACAAUUGUUCAUCAUCAUGAGAUGGAGUGUCAUGCGCAAGAACCAGGUCCCUAGGUCUAAGGUCAAG